RNAcentral lists this long non-coding RNA (1218 nucleotides) under Trifolium pratense (red clover). RNAcentral describes it as "long non-coding RNA (TPRA_LNC000326)". The record is from RNAcentral. Lineage: Eukaryota; Viridiplantae; Streptophyta; Magnoliopsida; Fabales; Fabaceae.
UGUCAAUUUCAAUUCUUCAAGCUGGGGGCAACCGCAUAUCAAGUUUUCCAAAACAUCUUGAGCCACCAUGACCGAACUUAGAUGAAUACUUUUCAUGUUCUUGAAGCCUUCAAAUGUCGUUGGAGGUUUAAGCCCACACCAAUGUAAUUUUAAACACUGCAAACUUUGACAUGAGAAUAAGCACCAAGGUAUCUUAUAGUGUUCCUCUGUACAAACUUCCACCACAAGCUCUUUAAUAGACCUUCCAGUUAGAUGAAGAAUCCAUCGAUCAAUAUCAGCACUAUCACUCACAAGAUUCUCAUAGUCAACGAACUUAAACAUGUUGAUUACCCCAGAAUGAACUAAUAGUACAUGAUCAACAAUUUUCAAAAACUUGUUCUCAAUAACUAAAGGGUCUUCGGAAGCUAAAUGAGAGACGCAUUGUUCAUCAAACACCAGAUUUGGCAGUGUGUACCAUUUGUUCCUCCAUUUGUUGGAUAAAACACUUGUUCUCACUGCUUCUUUAAUUGGCAAGUAAGAUAGAAUACAGUCUAUUAAAUGACCUGGUAAGCAACUAAUUCUAUCCGGCUCGACAUCAAUCACUUCUCGGGGAGUAGACUUUGUUUCCUUUAGAUAAGAUAUAUUCAUAUUCAAACAAAGGUACAUACAUCAAUAGAUGAAUCGAAAAACAAACUAGGUUAGUGUACAUAUGUAACUAAAUGUGAAUACAAAAUCAUAGCUAUGUCCACUGAGAGAAAACUCAAACUAAUAUAUCUGACUUCAUUUAUAAGAAAUAUGUUUGGUUACAUUUAAAUAUUUCCGGAACCUUUAUAACAAGGAGGUAGUUGAUAAUUACAGUACAUGAAUUUAUUCCCAUAUUUGGGGAGAAUAUUUUACCACUGUUUUCUUUGGGAAAUAUUUUCUUUUCCUAGGAGUCUUUUAUACCCGAAAAUAAAAUUUAAUAAACUUGUAAGAAACACAUGUAUGCAUUUUCAUUUUUCUAUCAUUUUAUUCAUAGGAAUAUAAAAAUAUAACUUGAAACAAAACACCCCUAUAGCUAGGUAUUUACUCUUGUGAAUUUAAAUGAUAAAAUGGUGUGGUUACACUUCACUUACAAUAGAAGGAUGGAAAAAUUCACUCAUGAUGAAUAUUAUAUUACAGACACAGAAGAAGAAUUUACCAUUUUCAAGCUACCGAUUGAGUAGUUCAAAAAUAUUUUGAAGGUGAUUGCUACAAGCC